GAGGGUUUAGCUCAGUGGUAGAGUGUGUGCUUAGCGUGCACGAGGUCCUGGGUUCAAUCCCCAGUACUUCCA
RNAcentral lists this transfer RNA (72 nucleotides) under Camelus bactrianus (Bactrian camel). It matches the Rfam family "tRNA". From Rfam's summary of the family: Transfer RNA (tRNA) molecules are approximately 80 nucleotides in length. Lineage: Eukaryota; Metazoa; Chordata; Mammalia; Artiodactyla; Camelidae. RNAcentral also lists the same sequence under 2 other names. The record is from Rfam by way of RNAcentral.